Molecule: transfer RNA, 63 nt
Filed under: bovine gut metagenome
Rfam family: tRNA
About the family: Transfer RNA (tRNA) molecules are approximately 80 nucleotides in length. Their secondary structure includes four short double-helical elements and three loops (D, anti-codon, and T loops).
Source: RNAcentral
CAAUAGCUCAGUUGGAUAGAGCAACUGCCUUCUAAGCAGUAGGCCUCAGGUUCGAAUCCUGAU